Molecule: ribosomal RNA, 253 nt
Filed under: uncultured bacterium
Lineage: Bacteria
Description: partial 16S ribosomal RNA
Rfam family: Bacterial small subunit ribosomal RNA
Source: RNAcentral
GACGUAGGGCACGAGCGUUGUCCGGAUUUAUUGGGCGUAAAGAGCUCGUAGGCGGCUUGUUGCGUCGACUGUGAAAACCCGCGGCUUAACUGCGGGCUUGCAGUUGAUACGGGCAGGCUAGAGUUCGGUAGGGGAGACUGGAAUUCCUGGUGUAGCGGUGAAAUGCGCAGAUAUCAGGAGGAACACCGGUGGCGAAGGCGGGUCUCUGGGCCGAUACUGACGCUGAGAAGCGAAAGCAUGGGGAGCGAACAGG